GACGAACGCUGGCGGCGUGCCUAAUACAUGCAAGUAGAACGCACAGUUUAUACCGUAGCUUGCUACACCAUAGACUGUGAGUUGCGAACGGGUGAGUAACGCGUAGGUAACCUGCCUGGUAGCGGGGGAUAACUAUUGGAAACGAUAGCUAAUACCGCAUAAUAUUAAUUAUUGCAUGAUAAUUAAUUGAAAGGUGCAAUUGCACCACUACCAGAUGGACCUGCGUUGUAUUAGCUAGUAGGUGAGGUAACGGCUCACCUAGGCGACGAUACAUAGCCGACCUGAGAGGGUGAUCUGCCACACUGGGACUGAGACACGGCCCAGACUCCUACGGGAGGCAGCAGUAGGGAAUCUUCGGCAAUGGACGAAAGUCUGACCGAGCAACGCCGCGUGAGUGAAGAAGGUUUUCGGAUCGUAAAGCUCUGUUGUAAGAGAAGAACGGGUGUGAGAGUGGAAAGUUCACACUGUGACGGUAUCUGACCAGAAAGGGACGGCUAACUACGUG
This 505-nucleotide ribosomal RNA is filed under the name uncultured bacterium. Its description in RNAcentral is "partial 16S ribosomal RNA". It matches the Rfam family "Bacterial small subunit ribosomal RNA", at positions 28 to 507 of the family's 1533-position model. The record is from RNAcentral.